Molecule: ribosomal RNA, 500 nt
Filed under: uncultured bacterium
Lineage: Bacteria
Description: bacterial SSU rRNA
Rfam family: Bacterial small subunit ribosomal RNA
Source: RNAcentral
UCAGGAUGAACGCUAGCGACAGGCUAACACAUGCAAGUCGAGGGCAGCAUAAAAGUAGCAAUACUUGGUGGCGACCGGCGCACGGGUGAGUAACGCGUAUGCAACCUACCUAUCAGAGGGGAAUAACCCGGCGAAAGUCGGACUAAUACCGCAUAAAACAGGGGCACCGCAUGGUGAUAUUUGUUAAAGAAAUUCGCUGAUAGAUGGGCAUGCGUUCCAUUAGGUAGUUGGUGAGGUAACGGCUCACCAAGCCGACGAUGGAUAGGGGAACUGAGAGGUUGGUCCCCCACACUGGUACUGAGACACGGACCAGACUCCUACGGGAGGCAGCAGUGAGGAAUAUUGGUCAAUGGGCGGGAGCCUGAACCAGCCAAGUCGCGUGAAGGAAAGAAGGAUCUAUGGUUCGUAAACUUCUUUUGCAGGGGAAUAAAGUGCAGGACGUGUCCUGUUUUGUAUGUACCCUGAGAAUAAGGAUCGGCUAACUCCGUGCCAGCAGCUGC